AACAGGAUUAGAUACCCUGGUAGUCCACGCCGUAAACGAUGUCGAUUUGGAGGUUGUGCCCUUGAGGCGUGGCUUCCGGAGCUAACGCGUUAAAUCGACCGCCUGGGGAGUACGGCCGCAAGGUUAAAACUCAAAUGGAUUGACGGGGGCCCGCACAAGCGGUGGAGCAUGUGGUUUAAUUCGAUGCAACGCGAAGAACCUUACCUACUCUUGACAUCCACGGAAUUUGGCAGAGAUGCCUUAGUGCCUUCGGGAACGCUGAGACAGGUGCUGCGUGGCUGUCGUCAGCUCGUGUUGUGAAAUGUUGGGUUAAGUCCCGCAACGAGCGCAACCCUUAUCCUUUGUUGCCAGCGAUUCGGUCGGGAACUCAAAGGAGACUGCCGGUGAUAAACCGGAGGAAGGUGGGGAUGACGUCAAGUCAUCAUGGCCCUUACGAGUAGGGCUACACACGUGCUACAAUGGCGCAUACAAAGAGAAGCGACCUCGCGAGAGCAAGCGGACCUCACAAAGUGCGUCGUAGUCCGGAUCGGAGUCUGCAACUCGACUCCGUGAAGUCGGAAUCGCUAGUAAUCGUGGAUCAGAAUGCCACGGUGAAUACGUUCCCGGGCCUUGUACACACCGCCCGUCACACCAUGGGAGUGGGUUGCAAAAGAAGUAGGUAGCUUAACCUUCGGGAGGGCGCUUACCACUUUGUGAUUCAUGACUGGGGUGAAGUCGUAACAAGGUAACC
RNAcentral lists this ribosomal RNA (730 nucleotides) under uncultured bacterium. Its description in RNAcentral is "bacterial SSU rRNA". It matches the Rfam family "Bacterial small subunit ribosomal RNA", at positions 771 to 1501 of the family's 1533-position model. The record is from RNAcentral.